UGCGGCUCUUGUUUGGUCGCUCUGCUUUGCAGAGAGGAAAGUCCGGGCUCCAUAGGGCAAGGAGCUGCCGAAAGGCAGGUAGGAGUAAUCCUACGGAUAGGGCCACAGAAAACAGACUUCCUGUUUGAGCAGGUGGUUAGUAGGCUGAAAAAGCCGAAUAGCCUGUGAAAACAGGUAAAGGUGAAACGGUAGGGUAAGAGCCUACCAGCUGUCAGCGUGAGCUGGCAGGCUAGGUAACCCCCUCCUGGAGCAAUCCCAAAUAGAGAGGCGCUUGAAGGUUGCCCGCCUGAAGCCUCUGGGUAGGGAGCUUAGAUAAAUGACCAUUAAAACAGAACCCGGCUUACAAAGAGCCGCAGGCU
This 359-nucleotide RNase P RNA is filed under the name Aquificota bacterium. RNAcentral describes it as "Aquificae bacterium (hydrothermal vent metagenome) RNase P RNA component class A". It matches the Rfam family "Bacterial RNase P class A". From Rfam's summary of the family: Ribonuclease P (RNase P) is a ubiquitous endoribonuclease, found in archaea, bacteria and eukarya as well as chloroplasts and mitochondria. Its best characterised activity is the generation of mature 5'-ends of tRNAs by cleaving the 5'-leader elements of precursor-tRNAs. Cellular RNase Ps are ribonucleoproteins. Lineage: Bacteria; Pseudomonadati; Aquificota. The record is from RNAcentral.